Molecule: ribosomal RNA, 403 nt
Filed under: bacterium
Lineage: Bacteria
Also listed under: 1 other name
Description: partial 16S ribosomal RNA
Rfam family: Bacterial small subunit ribosomal RNA
Source: RNAcentral
UGGGGAAUAUUGCACAAUGGAGGGAACUCUGAUGCAGCGACGCCGCGUGAACGAAGAAGGCUUUCGAGUCGUAAAGUUCUUUUAUAUGGGAAGAUAAUGACGGUACCAUAAGAAAAAGCCCCGGCUAACUACGUGCCAGCAGCCGCGGUAAUACGUAGGGGGCUAGCGUUGUCCGGAAUCACUGGGCGUAAAGGGUUCGCAGGCGGAAAUGCAAGUCAGGUGUAAAAGGCAGUAGCUUAACUACUGUAAGCAUUUGAAACUGCAUAUCUUGAGAAGAGUAGAGGUAAGUGGAAUUUUUAGUGUAGCGGUGAAAUGCGUAGAUAUUAAAAAGGAUACCGGUGGCGAAGGCGACUUACUGGGCUCAUUCUGACGCUGAGGAACGAAAGCGUGGGUAGCAAACAGG